CUCGUUCACCUUUUCCUCCCGUACUACACACAAGGACCCUCGAUGAGGUGGCAAUGACCGGCAAGAGGAAAGGUGGAAACAUUAACAAAAGUUUUUGAGAAUCGCCAAAAAAUAUUAAGGCAGGCGGAAAAAA
This is a non-coding RNA of Caenorhabditis elegans, 133 nucleotides long. The record is from Ensembl. NCBI's taxonomy places the organism in Eukaryota, Metazoa, Nematoda, Chromadorea, Rhabditida, Rhabditidae.